RNAcentral lists this ribosomal RNA (491 nucleotides) under uncultured bacterium. Its description in RNAcentral is "bacterial SSU rRNA". It matches the Rfam family "Bacterial small subunit ribosomal RNA", at positions 30 to 513 of the family's 1533-position model. The record is from RNAcentral.
AUUGAACGCUGGCGGCAGGCCUAACACAUGCAAGUCGAGCGGUAGAGAGGUGCUUGCAUCUCUUGAGAGCGGCGGACGGGUGAGUAAUGCCUAGGAAUCUGCCUAGUGGUGGGGGAUAACGUUCGGAAACGGACGCUAAUACCGCAUACGUCCUACGGGAGAAAGCGGGGGAUCUUCGGACCUCGCGCCAUUAGAUGAGCCUAGGUCGGAUUAGCUAGUUGGUGAGGUAAUGGCUCACCAAGGCGACGAUCCGUAACUGGUCUGAGAGGAUGAUCAGUCACACUGGAACUGAGACACGGUCCAGACUCCUACGGGAGGCAGCAGUGGGGAAUAUUGGACAAUGGGCGAAAGCCUGAUCCAGCCAUGCCGCGUGUGUGAAGAAGGUCUUCGGAUUGUAAAGCACUUUAAGUUGGGAGGAAGGGUAGGUAACCUAAUACGUUGCUACUUUGACGUUACCGACAGAAUAAGCACCGGCUAACUUCGUGCCAGCA